This 495-nucleotide ribosomal RNA is filed under the name uncultured bacterium. RNAcentral describes it as "partial 16S ribosomal RNA". It matches the Rfam family "Bacterial small subunit ribosomal RNA", at positions 28 to 507 of the family's 1533-position model. The record is from RNAcentral.
GACGAACGCUGGCGGCGUGCCUAAUACAUGCAAGUAGAACGCUGAAGGAGGAGCUUGCUUCUCUGGAUGAGUUGCGAACGGGUGAGUAACGCGUAUGUAACCUGCCUCUUAGCGGGGGAUAACUCUUGGAAACGAUAGCUAAUACCGCAUAAGAGUUGAUGUUGCAUGACAUUUGCUUGAAAAGUGCAAUUGCAUCGCUACCAGAUGGAGCUGCGUUGUAUUAUCUUGUUGUUGAGGUAACGGCGCAACAAGGCAACGAUACAUAGCCGAACUGGGAAGGUGGUUCGCCAAACUGGGACCGGGACACGGCCCAGACCUCCUAGGGGAGGAGCCGUAGGGAAUCUUCGGGAAUGGACGGAAGGCUGAACGAGCCACGCCGCGUGAGUGAAGAAGGUUCUCGGGUCGGAAAGCUCUGUUGUAAGGGAAGAAAGAGUGUGAGAGUGGAAAGUUCACACUGUGACGGUACCUUACCAGAAAGCGACGGCUAACUACGUG